This 253-nucleotide ribosomal RNA is filed under the name uncultured bacterium. RNAcentral describes it as "partial 16S ribosomal RNA". It matches the Rfam family "Bacterial small subunit ribosomal RNA", at positions 524 to 776 of the family's 1533-position model. The record is from RNAcentral.
UACGUAGGGUGCAAGCGUUGUCCGGAAUUACUGGGCGUAAAGAGCUCGUAGGCGGUUUGUCGCGUCGUCUGUGAAAACUCGAGGCUCAACCUCGAGCUUGCAGGCGAUACGGGCAGACUUGAGUACUGCGGGGGAGACUGGAAUUCCUGGUGUAGAGGUGAAAUUCGUAGAUAUCAGGAGGAACACCGGUGGCGAAGGCGGCUAUCUGGACGGUCACUGACGCUGAGAUGCGAAAGCGUGGGGAGCAAACAGG